Gorilla gorilla gorilla (western lowland gorilla) is the source of this 109-nucleotide unclassified non-coding RNA. It matches the Rfam family "Y RNA". From Rfam's summary of the family: Y RNAs are components of the Ro ribonucleoprotein particle (Ro RNP), in association with Ro60 and La proteins. The Y RNAs and Ro60 and La proteins are well conserved, but the function of the Ro RNP is not known. Lineage: Eukaryota; Metazoa; Chordata; Mammalia; Primates; Hominidae. The record is from Ensembl.
AGAUGGUCCAAAGGUAGUCAGUUAUCUCAAUUGAUUAUUCAGUCAAUUACGGAUCAAACUCCUUGUCCUACUCUUUCCCCAUUUUCACUACUGCACUUGAUGUCUUAAC